RNAcentral lists this ribosomal RNA (424 nucleotides) under uncultured Methanosaeta sp. RNAcentral describes it as "bacterial SSU rRNA". It matches the Rfam family "Archaeal small subunit ribosomal RNA", at positions 914 to 1338 of the family's 1478-position model. The record is from RNAcentral. Lineage: Archaea; Methanobacteriati; Methanobacteriota; Methanomicrobia; Methanotrichales; Methanotrichaceae.
AACGCCGGAAAUCUCACCGGGGCGACAGCAAUAUGAAGGUCAGGCUGAAGACCUUACCCGAUUAGCUGAGAGGUGGUGCAUGGCCGUCGUCAGUUCGUACUGUGAAGCAUCCUGUUAAGUCAGGCAACGAGCGAGACCCACGUCCACAGUUGCCAGCAUACCCUCCGGGGUGAUGGGUACACUGUGGAGACCGCCGCUGCUAAAGCGGAGGAAGGAGUGGGCAACGGUAGGUCAGUAUGCCCCGAAUCUCCCGGGCUACACGCGGGCUACAAUGGUUGGUACAAUGGGCAUCUACCCCGAAAGGGGAAGGAAAUCUCUUAAAGCCAAUCGUAGUUCGGAUUGAGGGCUGCAACUCGCCCUCAUGAAGCUGGAAUCCGUAGUAAUCGCGUUUCAACAGAACGCGGUGAAUACGUCCCUGCUCCUU